This 532-nucleotide ribosomal RNA is filed under the name uncultured bacterium. Its description in RNAcentral is "bacterial SSU rRNA". It matches the Rfam family "Bacterial small subunit ribosomal RNA", at positions 977 to 1509 of the family's 1533-position model. The record is from RNAcentral.
GGCCUUGACAUACUAAGAACUUUCCAGAGAUGGAUUGGUGCCUUCGGGAACUUAGAUACAGGUGCUGCAUGGCUGUCGUCAGCUCGUGUCGUGAGAUGUUGGGUUAAGUCCGCAACGAGCGCAACCCUUUUCCUAUUUGCCAGCGGGUAAUGCCGGGAACUUUUAAGGAUACUGCCAGUGACAAACUGGAGGAAGGCGGGGACGACGUCAAGUCAUCAUGGCCCUUACGGCCAGGGCUACACACGUGCUACAAUGGUCGGUACAAAGGGUUGCUACCUCGCGAGAGGAUGCUAAUCUCAAAAAGCCGAUCGUAGUCCGGAUCGCAGUCUGCAACUCGACUGCGUGAAGUCGGAAUCGCUAGUAAUCGCGGAUCAGAAUGCCGCGGUGAAUACGUUCCCGGGCCUUGUACACACCGCCCGUCACACCAUGGGAGUUUGUUGCACCAGAAGUAGGUAGUCUAACCGCAAGGAGGACGCUUACCACGGUGUGGCCGAUGACUGGGGUGAAGUCGUAACAAGGUAGGCGUAGAUGA